AACGAACGCUGGCGGCAUGCCUAACACAUGCAAGUCGAACGAGACCUUCGGGUCUAGUUGCGCACGGGUGCUUAACGCGUGGGAACCUGCCCUUAGGUUCGGAAUAACUCCCCGAAAGGGGUGCUAAUACCGGAUAAUGUCUUCGGACCAAAGAUUUAUCGCCUUUGGAUGGGCCCGCGUUGGAUUAGCUAGUUGGUAGGGUAAAAGCCUACCAAGGAGACGAUCCAUAGCUGGUCUGAGAGGAUGAUCAGCCACACUGGGACUGAGACACGGCCCAGACUCCUACGGGAGGCAGCAGUGGGGAAUAUUGGACAAUGGGCGAAAGCCUGAUCCAGCAAUGCCGCGUGAGUGAUGAAGGCCUUAGGGUUGUAAAGCUCUUUUACCCGGGAUGAUAAUGACAGUACCGGGAGAAUAAGCUCCGGCUAACUCCGUG
Molecule: ribosomal RNA, 433 nt
Filed under: uncultured bacterium
Lineage: Bacteria
Description: partial 16S ribosomal RNA
Rfam family: Bacterial small subunit ribosomal RNA
Source: RNAcentral